ACCCUAUUAUUUAAAAUGUAAGAAAAAAAUCUAAGGUAGUAGUAGUUAUGUUCUUGAAACUUAAAAAAUUUGGCGGUAUUUUAGUCUAUUCAGAGGAAUCUGUUCUGUAAUCGAUAAUCCACGAUGGACCUUACUUAAGUUUGUAAUCAGUUUAUAUACCGUCGUUAUUAGAAUAUUUUAUAAGAAUGUUAAUUUUCAUAAUUUUUAAAAAGAAAAUAUAUCAGAUCAAGGUGUAGCUUAUAUUUAAGUAGAAAUGGAUUACAAUAAAAUUAUUUAUACAGAUUUAAAUAUGAAAUGUUUAUUGAAGGUGGAUUUGAUAGUAAAAUUAUAAAGAUUAAUAAUUUGAUUUUAGCUCUAAAAUAUGCACACAUCGCCCGUCACUCUUACUAUUAAGGUAAGAUAAGUCGUAACAUAGUAGAUGUACUGGAAAGUGUAUCUAGAAUGC
Molecule: ribosomal RNA, 445 nt
Filed under: Delia radicum
Lineage: Eukaryota; Metazoa; Arthropoda; Insecta; Diptera; Anthomyiidae
Description: partial 12S ribosomal RNA
Source: RNAcentral